Long non-coding RNA from Sinocyclocheilus rhinocerous, 168 nucleotides. RefSeq lists it as uncharacterized. The record is from RefSeq and is a predicted model, not a curated record. NCBI's taxonomy places the organism in Eukaryota, Metazoa, Chordata, Actinopteri, Cypriniformes, Cyprinidae. The transcript is spliced from 3 exons.
GUGUUUGUGCUCUGGCUGUGGCUGCAGUUUUGUGUGGUAUUUAUUAUUACUGCCAGCGCAAGACGCGUAAACAGGCAGAUGAAGGCGAUGAACCUGACGGAGAGGAACUCAAGAGCCUAAAAGGUGUAGUUCCUGGAAACAAUGGGGAUGUUCAUCAGCCAAACCAUG